AACCAACCAGCUGUCCUCUCUGGAGUUCAGAGCGGCUCCAUUGAGAUCCCCUUCUCCUUCUAUUUCCCCUGGGAGUUGGCCAAUGAUCGGUCAAUGAGCAUAGCCUGGAUAUGGAAGUACUUCCAUGGGGAAGUCAUCUACAACUCCACCCAGCCUUUCCUUCAUGAGCAUUUUAAGGGCCGGCUCAUCAUGAACUGGACACAGGGUCAGACAUCUGGUGUCCUCAGAAUCCUGAACUUAAAGGAGAAUGACCAGGCCAGAUACUUCAGCCGAGUUUUUCUGCGAACAACUGAAGGCAUGAAGUCGUGGCAGUCAAUCCCUGGCACCCAACUCAUCAUUCAUGAGCUGGGGACCGAACCCAGGGCCUUGCGCUUGCUAGGCAAGUGCUCUACCACUGAGCUAAAUCCCCAACCCCUUGUGUGAACUUCUAACAGCUGUUCUGCAUCCCACAUCCAACCGAGGAGACAAAGUGUGACACUCACCCAUUCCUCACCUCAUUCAGGGAAGAUUUUCUCACUUCUCAUUUCUUCACAGCUCUCAAUACUACCAUAGGGAGCCCCUCUAUCAUCCCCUCUGCAUCCCCACAGCUGGCCUGGAGGACAAAAGGGGCCAGAGGAAUCCUUCACUGCUGAACCUGGGAGUCAUGGUUGGGAUGGUCUUGGCCAAAGUUGUGGUCAUCAUCCCCCUGUAUGGAUGGAUGAUCUUCCUGUGGUGGAAGCAAAGGCCAGCAGAAUAAAGACUAAACUCUAGUAAGGUGAGUGCCUGUCAUCUCAAGGGACAGAAGAGGAGCUGAUGGAAAGUUCACUAUGAGAGGCAUGGAAGGGAGCCAGAGCGAUGAUUCAGUCAGAAACACAUGGCACAGAGGCAGGAGGACCUGAGUUUGAUGGAUCAGGAAAUCACACCUAGGGAUGUGGCAGGAAUUUGCAAUCCCAGCCCUGGUCAAGCAAGAGAUGGGCAGAGACAUAUUGGCUGAACACCAAGUAUAGGACACUUGGUGAGUUCCAGGCCUGUGAAAGAUUGUGUCUUUAAAAAGUAGGGGUACUGCUCAAGGUGAUAAAUCAUGGACAUAACAUUUUCUAAAUUGAUUUUACCUGAAAUAUUUUAAAUUACACAUUAAGGAAGAAAAAUAAUAUAUGCCAGUGUGAAAGCUCAGUGAGAAAUGCCCUCUGCUGCCUAGCCCAGUGACCUGGGAAUGAUUUCUUCGGACCCAAAUGGUACACAGAGAACACUGACUCUGGAAAUCUGUCAUCUGUCUCUCCUGAUCGCCCACCAGAUGCUGGUAACAAAUAAUUUUUUAUUCCUCAACUAACAGGCUACUCUGUACUAGGAUCUCUCACCAGGGAGGUGAAUUUACAUCAAAGUAGUUGUUGGUGAUUACACACCCUGCAUCCCACAGCCUUCCAUGUCUUCUUGCUGGGAGUCAGUCAUCAUGGCUGCAGGAUUCUCCUGUGAAAGUCAUUCUUGGAUAACCCCCACUUCUACCAUGGGGACUCAGACACGCUCUCCUUGGAACCAUGGUCCUCCUGUGUAUUUCUGGGCCUGAAAGCCUGACUGUGCUGUUGUCUCUCUGCUCAUGGAGUUAUUGACACUGUUAAUAAAUAUCUUACUCCCAGCAAUCCAUCUCAGUGUCUCUCCUGAGCCUCUGUCUUUUCCCCUUCCUGACACUUCUUAGAGAGUGUAGACUGUGUCUAGGGUGUAGGUCACUGGGAUAGAUGUAA
This is a non-coding RNA of Rattus norvegicus (Norway rat), 1718 nucleotides long. The record is from RefSeq and is a predicted model, not a curated record. NCBI's taxonomy places the organism in Eukaryota, Metazoa, Chordata, Mammalia, Rodentia, Muridae.